Molecule: non-coding RNA, 46 nt
Organism: Trichomalopsis sarcophagae
Lineage: Eukaryota; Metazoa; Arthropoda; Insecta; Hymenoptera; Pteromalidae
Source: Rfam
CAAUCGGCCCUUUUCAGGGCCACCAAAUUAUUUUUACGUAGAGCAA